AUCAAAUCUCUGACUACACAUUUCUUGCUGGAGUUUAUUUCAAUUUUCAUCCCAGAAGGCUUCAGAAAAAAAGGUGUUAUAAUGCCGGAAGAGAAGAAGGAAGAAAAACUAAAGCCAUGCUGUGCCUGUCCAGAAACCAAAAAGCCAGAGAUCAAUGCAUAAUCGAAAAAGGAGAAGAAAAUUGUGGAGAGCUGAUUGAGAAGCACAAAGAAUGUAUGAGAAAAUUGGGAUUUAACAUAUGAUAGCAGAUAGUCAUCAGUUGAUAAGAAUGGGAUGCAUCUUCAUAUUAAGCGGAUGUUGUGCCUUUUUGUUGAUAAUUCACCCAUGUGUGCCACAUGAUAUGACUUACAAUGCAAUGUAAAUAAAUAUAAAAAUGAAAACAAAAAUUGAUA
Long non-coding RNA from Pomacea canaliculata, 392 nucleotides. RefSeq lists it as uncharacterized. The transcript is spliced from 3 exons. NCBI's taxonomy places the organism in Eukaryota, Metazoa, Mollusca, Gastropoda, Architaenioglossa, Ampullariidae. The record is from RefSeq and is a predicted model, not a curated record.